AAUCAAAUUUCAUGGGUUUAACAACAACAUUUUCAUUAUUCACACAAUUCAAUCAAAUUUCAUGGGUUUAACAUCAACAUUUCAUCAUUUCCACCAUUCAAUCAAAUUUCAUAGGUUUAACNUCAUGGGUUUAACAUCAACAUUUCAUCAUUUCCACCAUUCAAUCAAAUUUCAUAGAUUUAACAACAACGUUUUCAUCAUUCACACAAUUCAAUCAAAUUUCAUAGGUUUAAGAACA
RNAcentral lists this long non-coding RNA (238 nucleotides) under Lathyrus oleraceus (garden pea). RNAcentral describes it as "Pisum sativum (pea) long non-coding RNA (PSAT_LNC039863)". Lineage: Eukaryota; Viridiplantae; Streptophyta; Magnoliopsida; Fabales; Fabaceae. The record is from RNAcentral.